CCUACGGGAGGCAGCAGUGGGGAAUUUUGGACAAUGGGCGCAAGCCUGAUCCAGCCAUGCCGCGUGAGUGAAGAAGGCCUUCGGGUUGUAAAGCUCUUUCGGCCGGGAAGAAAUCGCAUUGGUUAAUACCUGGUGUGGAUGACGGUACCGGAAUAAGAAGCACCGGCU
This 168-nucleotide ribosomal RNA is filed under the name uncultured bacterium. Its description in RNAcentral is "partial 16S ribosomal RNA". It matches the Rfam family "Bacterial small subunit ribosomal RNA", at positions 338 to 498 of the family's 1533-position model. The record is from RNAcentral.